CCUACGGGAGGCUGCAGUCGAGAAUCAUUCACAAUGGGGGCAACCCUGAUGGUGCGACGCCGCGUGGGGGAAUGAAGGUCUUCGGAUUGUAAACCCCUGUCAUGUGGGAGCAAAUUAAAAAGAUAGUACCACAAGAGGAAGAGACGGCUAACUCUGUGCCAGCAGCCGCGGUAAUACAGAGGUCUCAAGCGUUGUUCGGAAUCACUGGGCGUAAGGCGUGCGUAGGCUGUUUCGUAAGUCGUGUGUGAAAGGCGCGGGCUCAACCCGCGGACGGCACAUGAUACUGCGAGACUAGAGUAAUGGAGGGGGAACCGGAAUGUUCGGUGUAGCAGUGAAAUGCGUAGAUAUCGAGAGGAACACUCGUGGCGAAGGCGGGUUCCUGGACAUUAACUGACGCUGAGGCACGAAGGCCAGGGGAGCGAAAGGGAUUAGAUACCCCUGUAGUC
This 446-nucleotide ribosomal RNA is filed under the name uncultured bacterium. RNAcentral describes it as "partial 16S ribosomal RNA". It matches the Rfam family "Bacterial small subunit ribosomal RNA", at positions 338 to 795 of the family's 1533-position model. The record is from RNAcentral.